Molecule: ribosomal RNA, 446 nt
Filed under: Arctic sea ice bacterium AWS-11B6
Lineage: Bacteria; Pseudomonadati; Pseudomonadota; Gammaproteobacteria
Description: bacterial SSU rRNA
Rfam family: Bacterial small subunit ribosomal RNA
Source: RNAcentral
GCCGCGUGUGUGAAGAAGGCCUUCGGGUUGUAAAGCACUUUCAGUUGUGAGGAAAGGUUGGUGGUUAAUACCCAUUAGCUAUGACGUUAGCAACAGAAGAAGGACCGGCUAACUCCGUGCCAGCAGCCGCGGUAAUACGGAGGGUCCGAGCGUUAAUCGGAAUUACUGGGCGUAAAGCGCACGCAGGCGGUUUGUUAAGCUAGAUGUGAAAGCCCCGGGCUCAACCUGGGAAUAGCAUUUAGAACUGGCAGACUAGAGUCUUGGAGAGGGGAGUGGAAUUUCUGGUGUAGCGGUGAAAUGCGUAGAUAUCAGAAGGAACAUCAGUGGCGAAGGCGACUCCCUGGCCAAAGACUGACGCUCAUGUGCGAAAGUGUGGGUAGCGAACAGGAUUAGAUACCCUGGUAGUCCACACCGUAAACGCUGUCUACUAGCUGUUUGUGGAUUUA